AUUGAACGCUGGCGGCUGGCCUAACACAUGCAAUUCGAGCGGAGUGGCGGACGGGUGCGUAAUGCCUAGGAAUCUGCCUGGUAGUGGGUGAUAACGUCCGUAAACGGUCGCUCAUACCGUAUACUAUCAGAUGAGCCUAUGUCGGAUUAGCUAGUUGGUGGGGGAAAGGCCUACCAAGGCGACGAUCCGUAACUGGAUUGAGAGGAUGAUCAGUCACAAUGGAACUGAGACACGGUCCGGAAUCCUACGGGAGGCAGCAGUGGGGAAUAUUGGAAAAUGGGCGAAAGCCUGAUCCAGCCAUGCCGCGUGAGUGAAGAAGUUCUUCGGGUUGUAAAGCACUUUAAGUUGGGAGGCGUUAAGAACAGAAUAAGCACCGGCUAACUUCGUGCCAGCAGCCGCGGUAAUAC
This 407-nucleotide ribosomal RNA is filed under the name uncultured bacterium. Its description in RNAcentral is "partial 16S ribosomal RNA". It matches the Rfam family "Bacterial small subunit ribosomal RNA", at positions 30 to 526 of the family's 1533-position model. The record is from RNAcentral.